Molecule: unclassified non-coding RNA, 452 nt
Filed under: Hevea brasiliensis (rubber tree)
Lineage: Eukaryota; Viridiplantae; Streptophyta; Magnoliopsida; Malpighiales; Euphorbiaceae
Source: RNAcentral
CGGCUGUUCACGCUUCAGAUAUGGGAUACCGCAGGGCAGGAAAGGUUUCAGAGCCUUGGUGUGGCAUUUUACCGUGGAGCAGAUUGCUGUGUCCUUGUGUAUGACGUUAAUGUGAUGAAAUCUUUUGAAAAUUUGAACAACUGGCGAGAGGAAUUUCUUAUCCAGGCUAGCCCAUCCGACCCUGAGAACUUUCCGUUUGUGGUGUUGGGAAACAAGAUCGAUAUUGAUGGCGGCAACAGUCGUGUGGUCUCUGAGAAGAAGGCAAGAGCAUGGUGUGCUUCGAAAGGGAAUAUCCCUUAUUUUGAGACAUCUGCUAAAGAGGGAUUCAAUGUGGAAGCUGCUUUCGAGUGCAUAGCCAAGAACGCUCUCACGAAUGAACCUGAUGAUGAGAUUUACAUUCCGGACACUAUUGAUGUAUCUGGCGGUGGACGGACACAGCGGUCAACUGGUUG